RNAcentral lists this ribosomal RNA (312 nucleotides) under uncultured bacterium. RNAcentral's name for it is "partial 16S ribosomal RNA". It matches the Rfam family "Bacterial small subunit ribosomal RNA", at positions 524 to 830 of the family's 1533-position model. The record is from RNAcentral.
UACGGAGGGUGCAAGCGUUAUCCGGAUUCACUGGGUUUAAAGGGUGCGUAGGUGGGCAGGUAAGUCAGUGGUGAAAUCUCCGGGCUUAACUCGGAAACUGCCAUUGAUACUAUCUGUCUUGAAUACCGUGGAGGUUAGCGGAAUAUGUCAUGUAGCGGUGAAAUGCUUAGAUAUGACAUAGAACACCAAUUGCGAAGGCAGCUGGCUACACGAAUAUUGACACUGAUGCACGAAAGCGUGGGGAGUCAAACAGGAUUAGAUACCCGUAGUAGCUCCAACGAUCCAAGUCUCUGCAUGCGUAAGUCACCGACC